Small nucleolar RNA from Sardina pilchardus (European sardine), 305 nucleotides. NCBI's taxonomy places the organism in Eukaryota, Metazoa, Chordata, Actinopteri, Clupeiformes, Clupeidae. The record is from RefSeq and is a predicted model, not a curated record.
GCCCAAUGAGGAGAACUAGGCACAUUUGAGCUCAUUGGCUGAGAGGCCGUGUUGUCCUGCUCUCUGAUUGGUGGGUAAUCUUGGUAGAGCAGCGAAGGUUUGCUACUCUACUGUAAGGGCCCACCUAAAGAAAACUAGCAGCCACCCAAAGUGGAAUACUCUCUCUUCGAGUCAUGAGUGGGAGACCAGGGAACUGCUUACAUUGUGUGUGUGUGUGUGUGUGUGUGUGUCGGUAAGCAUGGAAACAUGGCACUCUCCUGACUAGCCAAUCAGCAUUGAUCUUGUUCUUUGGUAAUCUGAGGGCA